UACGUAGGGGGCAAGCGUUGUCCGGAAUUAUUGGGCGUAAAGCGCACGUAGGCGGCUCUUUAAGUCUCACUGUGAAAGCCUGCGGCUCAACCGCAGGAGGCCAGGGGAUACUGGAGGGCUGGAGACAGGUAGAGGCGAGCGGAAUUCCGGGUGUAGCGGUGGAAUGCGUAGAGAUCCGGAAGAACACCAGAGGCGAAGGCGGCUCGCUGGACCUUGUCUGACGCUGAGGUGCGAAAGCGUGGGUAGCAAACAGG
This 254-nucleotide unclassified non-coding RNA is filed under the name uncultured Gemmatimonadota bacterium. RNAcentral describes it as "uncultured Gemmatimonadetes bacterium contains 16S-23S intergenic spacer region". It matches the Rfam family "Bacterial small subunit ribosomal RNA", at positions 524 to 776 of the family's 1533-position model. The record is from RNAcentral. Lineage: Bacteria; Pseudomonadati; Gemmatimonadota.